This 72-nucleotide transfer RNA is filed under the name Camelus bactrianus (Bactrian camel). It matches the Rfam family "tRNA". From Rfam's summary of the family: Transfer RNA (tRNA) molecules are approximately 80 nucleotides in length. Their secondary structure includes four short double-helical elements and three loops (D, anti-codon, and T loops). Further hydrogen bonds mediate the characteristic L-shaped molecular structure. tRNAs have two regions of fundamental functional importance: the anti-codon, which is responsible for specific mRNA codon recognition, and the 3' end, to which the tRNAs corresponding amino acid is attached (by aminoacyl-tRNA synthetases). tRNAs cope with the degeneracy of the genetic code in two manners: having more than one tRNA (with a specific anti-codon) for a particular amino acid; and 'wobble' base-pairing, i.e. permitting non-standard base-pairing at the 3rd anti-codon position. RNAcentral also lists the same sequence under 2 other names. The record is from Rfam by way of RNAcentral. Lineage: Eukaryota; Metazoa; Chordata; Mammalia; Artiodactyla; Camelidae.
GAGGGGAUAGCCCAGUGGUAGAAUGCAUGCCUAGCAUGCAUGAGGUUCUGGGUUCAAUUUCCAGUCCCUCUA